This 385-nucleotide ribosomal RNA is filed under the name uncultured eukaryote. RNAcentral's name for it is "SSU rRNA". It matches the Rfam family "Eukaryotic small subunit ribosomal RNA", at positions 587 to 972 of the family's 1831-position model. The record is from RNAcentral.
AGCUCCAAUAGCGUAUAUUAAAGUUGUUGCAGUUAAAAAGCUCGUAGUUGGAUUUCUAGCGGACGCGACUGGUCUGCUCCGCGAGGAGUUGGUACUGAGCCGUCGUCUGUUAUCCUUGAGCAGAGCUGCCCUGGCAUUAAGUUGUCGGGGUAGGGAUGCUCAUCGUUUACUGUGAAAAAUUAGAGUGUUCAAAGCAAGCUUAGGCUCUGAAUAUAUUAGCAUGGAAUAAUAAGAUAGGACCUUGGUGGUCUAUUUUGUUGGUUUGCACGCCGAGGUAAUGAUUAAUAGGGAUAGUUGGGGGUAUUCGUAUUCAAUUGUCAGAGGUGAAAUUCUUGGAUUUAUGGAAGACGAACUACUGCGAAAGCAUUUACCAAGGAUGUUUUCA